GCUUUCUUCUGUGCAUAGAAUUUCUCCAGAAAGAUUGCUGCAGGGAUAACAACCACAGUGGAGACAGAGCAGCUCAAGAUUGAAAUAGAGAAGAAAACCACUGACACUGCUAUAGAAAUUUCUCUUUCACUUCACCAUGAUGUGGGAGGACUGAUGGACAUUGUUCCACGUGUACUAGAGGUUGCUUGCAGUGGAGAAUCUGCUAACAAACAACUUUCUGGCCUUUGCAAUGGUGCAAUUGCAUUCCAUCAUUUUGAGACUCCAGCAAGAGUUUCACUGAAUGGGUCAAUAUUUACCAGCAACUUUACUCUCAUCCUCUUUGGACACAUUUCUUUUCAUGACGUAUUUGCCUGCCUACAACUCUAUGCCACCAGUAACACCCAUCCUCAUUUAGAAAUCGACUUCCAGCAUUCUUUGCCUUCACUUCAUUCUCUGGGAAUUGCCAGAGAGAACCAACUGAAGGUGUCAGCCAUGAGAAGUGACAAGUACAAGGGCAUCCUUGGUAUUGUCCUCGGGCCUUGCACUUUGGAAGCUGAUGGGGAAGUGAGCCUGGCAGGCAAUGAGACAGGAUGGGUACUUGCUUUUAGAAACAAGUGCGUCAGUCUAGAGAGGAUGGGAUUGCCUCGUGCUGCAGUCUUGGGGGGCUCAUUUCAGCAGAACAUCUGCAACGUGGGCUUGUUAAUGAAGCUGCAGUGUGAUGGCAGAGCAGUGGAUGUGCAGAUAGACACCUCCUGCCAGCAUGAAUACACACUCCAAGGGAUGCUCAGGCAUUCGUUUCCCUGGCUCAGCCAGCUUGGGCUGCCUUUUGAAAACUCAAUCCUGUUCUCUGCAGCCACAGACUCCACCACAGAGGGCAUUUUCCUGCUGCAGGCUGGCAGAUGCAGACUGAGGGCUAGAGGGGACCUCUGCAUUCAGAAUAAAGCUGACUGGACACUGGAAACAGAAACAGAAUGCCAACUUCUGCAGGAUCUCAGUUUCCCAACUCAGUCCCGGCUCACAGGAUCCAUCCAGAAGGACAAGUGCCAGGCAGAGCUGCUCUCUGUCCUGGAAACAGGAGGCAAAACUGCCCGGCUUGAAGUGAGAGCAGAGUGCAAGCCAAAGCUGGCUCUGGAAAUUCAGUUCAGGCAUGACCUCCCCCAGCUGAGGGAAAUCCCAAGGGAAAAUGAGCUGUCCAUCACUGCACGGAAACACCUCAGAUAUGUCAUUGGAGUGGGAAUGAAACUGGGGGCCUGUGAGCUUCAAAUGAAUGGGGACUUUGAUCCUGAGAAGAACCGGCAGUGGAAAAUGCUUAUAGAAAACAAAUGCCAAACAAUUCAGGAUCUUGGAGCACCAAUGAAAAUUGAUGGCUCAGGCUAUCUUUUGAUGGAUGAAAUGAACCUAGAUUCACAGACACUGAUCACUGUUGAUGAAAGUAAAUUCCGAGGACUCUUUAUACUAAAAGUCACUGAUGUGAGUACCCUGCAGGCUGUUGGAGUGUGUGAACAAAGUACUCAGUAAUGUACUCUAACAUAU
RNAcentral lists this long non-coding RNA (1512 nucleotides) under Zonotrichia albicollis (white-throated sparrow). RNAcentral describes it as "lncRNA (ENSZALG00000015931.1)". Lineage: Eukaryota; Metazoa; Chordata; Aves; Passeriformes; Passerellidae. The record is from RNAcentral.